This 253-nucleotide ribosomal RNA is filed under the name uncultured bacterium. RNAcentral's name for it is "partial 16S ribosomal RNA". It matches the Rfam family "Bacterial small subunit ribosomal RNA", at positions 524 to 776 of the family's 1533-position model. The record is from RNAcentral.
UACGUAGGGUCCGAGCGUUGUCCGGAAUUACUGGGCGUAAAGAGCUCGUAGGUGGUUUGUCGCGUUGUUCGUGAAAACUCACAGCUCAACUGUGGGCGUGCGGGCGAUACGGGCAGACUUGAGUACUGCAGGGGAGACUGGAAUUACUGGUGUAGCGGUGGAAUGCGCAGAUAUCAGGAGGAACACCGGUGGCGAAGGCGGGUCUCUGGGCAGUAACUGACGCUGAGGAGCGAAAGCGUGGGGAGCGAACAGG